This 431-nucleotide ribosomal RNA is filed under the name uncultured bacterium. Its description in RNAcentral is "partial 16S ribosomal RNA". It matches the Rfam family "Bacterial small subunit ribosomal RNA", at positions 29 to 505 of the family's 1533-position model. The record is from RNAcentral.
AACGAACGCUGGCGGCAGGCCUAACACAUGCAAGUCGAGCGAGGACUUCGGUCCUAGCGGCGGACGGGUGAGUAACGCGUGGGAACGUGCCCUUUGCUUCGGAAUAGCCCUGGGAAACUGGGAGUAAUACCGGAUGAGCCCUGUGGGGGAAAGAUUUAUCGGCGAAGGAUCGGCCCGCGUUGGAUUAGGUAGUUGGUGGGGUAAUGGCCUACCAAGCCGACGAUCCAUAGCUGGUUUGAGAGGAUGAUCAGCCACACUGGGACUGAGACACGGCCCAGACUCCUACGGGAGGCAGCAGUGGGGAAUCUUAGACAAUGGGGGAAACCCUGAUCUAGCCAUGCCGCGUGAGCGAUGAAGGCCUUAGGGUUGUAAAGCUCUUUCAGCUGGGAAGAUAAUGACGGUACCAGCAGAAGAAGCCCCGGCUAACGCCG